ACCGGUCCCUCGCUGCGCAACAGCAGAAGAACUCGAAAAUUUGGCUAAGUCCUGGAAGACCGCCGUUCGGGAACCGGUCCCUGGUCGGGGAGACCGGUCCCCGAAGGCGAAAAAUGCCCAGUCUGGGCAGUUCAAGAGGAAACAAGUGGAGAGGCUUAAGUGCAAUUGUUACAACACUAUAUAUGACUCACCCCUCUCUCCCACAGCC
This 208-nucleotide long non-coding RNA is filed under the name Ananas comosus (pineapple). RNAcentral's name for it is "long non-coding RNA (ACOM_LNC037026)". The record is from RNAcentral. Lineage: Eukaryota; Viridiplantae; Streptophyta; Magnoliopsida; Poales; Bromeliaceae.